UACCAGCACCCCGAGUGGUCGGGACGAUUAUUGGGCCUAAAGCAUCCGUAGCCGGUCCUGCAAGUCUUCCGUUAAAUCCAGCUGCUCAACAGAUGGGCUGCGGAGGAUACUAUAAGACUAGGAGGCAGGAGAGGCAAGCGGUACUCAGUGGGUAGGGGUAAAAUCCGUUGAUCCAUUGAAGACCACCAGUGGCGAAGGCGGCUUGCCAGAAUGCGCUCGACGGUGAGGGAUGAAAGCUGGGGGAGCAAACCGG
RNAcentral lists this ribosomal RNA (253 nucleotides) under uncultured bacterium. RNAcentral describes it as "partial 16S ribosomal RNA". It matches the Rfam family "Archaeal small subunit ribosomal RNA", at positions 474 to 727 of the family's 1478-position model. The record is from RNAcentral.